Molecule: ribosomal RNA, 431 nt
Filed under: uncultured bacterium
Lineage: Bacteria
Description: partial 16S ribosomal RNA
Rfam family: Bacterial small subunit ribosomal RNA
Source: RNAcentral
CGAACGCUGGCGGCCUGCCUAACACAUGCAAGUCGACCGAGACCUUCGGGUCUAGUGGCGCACGGGUGCGUAACGCGUGGGAACCUGCCCUUAGGUUCGGAAUAACUCCCCGAAAGGGGUGCUAAUACCGGAUAAUGUCUUCGGACCAAAGAUUUAUCGCCUUUGGAUGGGCCCGCGUUGGAUUAGCUAGUUGGUAGGGUAAAAGCCUACCAAGGCGACGAUCCAUAGCUGGUCUGAGAGGAUGAUCAGCCACACUGGGACUGAGACACGGCCCAGACUCCUACGGGAGGCAGCAGUGGGGAAUAUUGGACAAUGGGCGAAAGCCUGAUCCAGCAAUGCCGCGUGAGUGAUGAAGGCCUUAGGGUUGUAAAGCUCUUUUACCCGGGAUGAUAAUGACAGUACCGGGAGAAUAAGCUCCGGCUAACUCCGUG